This 27-nucleotide small RNA is filed under the name Bombyx mori (domestic silkworm). RNAcentral describes it as "ovarian small RNA-37458". The record is from RNAcentral. Lineage: Eukaryota; Metazoa; Arthropoda; Insecta; Lepidoptera; Bombycidae.
UUCUACAAUGCUAAGUUUACCUGGUUU